This 494-nucleotide ribosomal RNA is filed under the name uncultured bacterium. RNAcentral describes it as "partial 16S ribosomal RNA". It matches the Rfam family "Bacterial small subunit ribosomal RNA", at positions 28 to 507 of the family's 1533-position model. The record is from RNAcentral.
GACGAACGCUGGCGGCGUGCUUAACACAUGCAAGUCGAACGGAAAGGCCUGCUUUCCCUUGUGGAUUGCGGGUACUCGAGUGGCGAACGGGUGAGGAACACGUGAGUGAUCUGCCCCCAACUUUGGUAUAAGCCUGGGAAACUGGGGCUAAUUCCCGAGAGGACUGCAGGGUGGUGCCUGUGGUGGAAAACGAUUUUCUAGUGGUUGGGGAUGGGCUGGCGGCCUAUCAGCUUGUUGGUGGGGUAAUGGCCGACCAAGGCGGCGACGGGUAGCCGGCCUGGGAGGGUGGGCGGCGACAUUGGGACUGACAUACGGCCCAGACUCCUACGGGAGGCAGCAGUGGGGAAUGUUGCACAGUGGGCUGAGGACUGGUGCAGCGACGCCGCGUGGGAGAUGACGGGCUUCGGGUAGUAAACUCCUUUCGACCGCGAGGAAGCCACCUGGUUGGAAGGGUGGUGACGGUAGUGGUAGAAGAAGCACCGGCUAACUACGUG